CGGGUGAGUAACGCGUGAGGAACCUGCCUCAAAGAGGGGGACAACAGUUGGAAACGACUGCUAAUACCGCAUAAGCCCACGGGUCGGCAUCGACCUGAGGGAAAAGGAGCAAUCCGCUUUGAGAUGGCCUCGCGUCCGAUUAGCUAGUUGGUGAGGUAAAGGCCUACCAAGGCGACGAUCAGUAGCGGGUCUGAGAGGAUGAUCCGCCACACUGGGACUGAGACACGGCCCAG
This 233-nucleotide ribosomal RNA is filed under the name uncultured bacterium. RNAcentral's name for it is "partial 16S ribosomal RNA". It matches the Rfam family "Bacterial small subunit ribosomal RNA", at positions 103 to 334 of the family's 1533-position model. The record is from RNAcentral.